UGGGGAAUAUUGCACAAUGGGGGAAACCCUGAUGCAGCGACGCCGCGUGAAGGAUGAAGGUCUUUGGAUUGUAAACUUCUUUGACGAGGGACGAAAACUGACGGUACCUCGAAAACAAGCCACGGCUAACUACGUGCCAGCAGCCGCGGUAAUACGUAGGUGGCGAGCGUUGUCCGGAUUUACUGGGUGUAAAGGGCGUGUAGGCGGGUUAUUAAGUCGCAAGUUAAAUGCAGAGGCUCAACCUCUGUAUGCUUGCGAAACUAGUAGUCUUGAGUAUCGGAGAGGAAAGCGGAAUUCCCAGUGUAGCGGUGAAAUGCGUAGAUAUUGGGAGGAACACCAGUGGCGAAGGCGGCUUUCUGGACGACAACUGACGCUGAGGCGCGAAAGCGUGGGGAGCAAACA
Molecule: ribosomal RNA, 402 nt
Rfam family: Bacterial small subunit ribosomal RNA